GACGAACGCUGGCGGCGUGCUUAACACAUGCAAGUCGAACGGAAAGGCCCUGCUUUUGUGGGGUGCUCGAGUGGCGAACGGGUGAGUAACACGUGAGUAACCUGCCCUUGACUUUGGGAUAACUUCAGGAAACUGGGGCUAAUACCGGAUAGGAGCUCCUGCUGCAUGGUGGGGGUUGGAAAGUUUCGGCGGUUGGGGAUGGACUCGCGGCUUAUCAGCUUGUUGGUGGGGUAGUGGCUUACCAAGGCUUUGACGGGUAGCCGGCCUGAGAGGGUGACCGGCCACAUUAGGACUGCGAUACGGCCCAGACUCCUACGGGAGGCAGCAGUGGAGAAUAUUGCACAAUGGGCGGAAGCCUGAUGCAGCAACGCCGCGUGCGGGAUGACGGCCUUCGGGUUGUAAACCGCUUUCGCCUGUGACGAAGCGUGAGUGACGGUAAUGGGUGAAGAAGCACCGGCUAACUACGUG
Molecule: ribosomal RNA, 468 nt
Filed under: uncultured bacterium
Lineage: Bacteria
Description: partial 16S ribosomal RNA
Rfam family: Bacterial small subunit ribosomal RNA
Source: RNAcentral